This 603-nucleotide ribosomal RNA is filed under the name Triticum aestivum (bread wheat). RNAcentral's name for it is "partial small subunit ribosomal RNA". Lineage: Eukaryota; Viridiplantae; Streptophyta; Magnoliopsida; Poales; Poaceae. The record is from RNAcentral.
AUGAAUAUCCUAAGCUGGAAUUGUUGUGGUUCCGGGAACGCCACGACAAUUCGUGAACUGUGUGUCCUAUCAAAGGCACAUCUUCCCAAAGUUAUCUUUAUUUGUGAAACUCGUCAAAAAACUGUCCGUAUGCGUCGUCUUAGAAGCCGCUUAGGACUUAGUGGCUUUGCUGGGGUCGAUUGUGUUGGCUUGAGUGGUGGGCUAGCACUGUUCUGGCAGGAGAGUAUGCACGUCGAAGUAAAAGAUUCGAAUGAAAGAUUUAUCGAUGUUUACAUGCGUGCGUCACUGUCUGAUCCAUUGUGGCAUGCUACUUUCGUUUAUGGUGAACCGAGGCAAGAAAACCGUCAUCACAUGUGGUCCACCUUGUGUUCUCUUCGCGCUAUGUCAUCACUGCCGUGGUUUGCAGUGGGGGAUUUUAAUGAGGCUCUCUGGCAGUAUGAACACUUCUCGGCAACACUACGUGCAGAGUCCUUGAUGGCUGCCUUCCGUGAUGCCUUGCUUCUGUGUGGAUUACAUGAUCUUGGUUUUAAAGGGCUGCCUUAUACUUUUGAUAAUGGAAGAGCUAGGAAUGGUAAUGUUAAAGUACGGCUCGCUAGCGGAUGA